CCUGAGGAGUACGGCCGCAAGGCUAAAACUUAAAGGAAUUGACGGGGACCCGCACAAGCGGUGGAGCAUGUGGUUUAAUUCGAAGAUACGCGAAAAACCUUACCAGGUCUUGACAUACCAAUGAUCGCUUUUGUAAUGAAAGCUUUUCUUCGGAACAUUGGAUACAGGUGGUGCAUGGUCGUCGUCAGCUCGUGUCGUGAGAUGUUGGGUUAAGUCCCGCAACGAGCGCAACCCUUGUUAUUAGUUGCCAGCAUUUAGUUGGGCACUCUAAUGAGACUGCCGGUGAUAAACCGGAGGAAGGUGGGGACGACGUCAGAUCAUCAUGCCCCUUAUGACCUGGGCAACACACGUGCUACAAUGGGAAGUACAACGAGUCGCAAACCGGCGACGGUAAGCUAAUCUCUUAAAACUUCUCUCAGUUCGGACUGGAGUCUGCAACUCGACUCCACGAAGGCGGAAUCGCUAGUAAUCGCGAAUCAGCAUGUCGCGGUGAAUACGUUCCCGGGUCUUGUACACACCGCCCGUCAAAUCAUGGGAGUCGGAAGUACCCAAAGUCGCUUGGCUAACUUUUAGAGGCCGGUGCCUAAGGUAAAAUCGAUGACUGGGAUUAAGUCGUAACAAGGUAGCCGUAGGAGAACCUGCGGCUGGAUCACCUCCUUUCUAAGGA
Molecule: ribosomal RNA, 667 nt
Filed under: Oenococcus oeni
Lineage: Bacteria; Bacillati; Bacillota; Bacilli; Lactobacillales; Lactobacillaceae
Description: bacterial SSU rRNA
Rfam family: Bacterial small subunit ribosomal RNA
Source: RNAcentral